RNAcentral lists this ribosomal RNA (447 nucleotides) under uncultured bacterium. RNAcentral's name for it is "bacterial SSU rRNA". It matches the Rfam family "Bacterial small subunit ribosomal RNA", at positions 329 to 793 of the family's 1533-position model. The record is from RNAcentral.
CCCCAGACUCCUACGGGAGGCAGCAGUGGGGGAUAUUGCACAAUGGGGGAAACCCUGAUGCAGCGACGCCGCGUGGGUGAAGAAGCGCCUCGGCGCGUAAAGCCCUGUCAGCAGGGAAGAAAAUGACGGUACCUGAAGAAGAAGCCCCGGCUAACUACGUGCCAGCAGCCGCGGUAAUACGUAGGGGGCAAGCGUUAUCCGGAUUUACUGGGUGUAAAGGGGGCGCAGACGGCAAUGCAAGCCAGGAGUGAAAGCCCGGGGCCCAACCCCGGGACUGCUCUUGGAACUGCAUGGCUGGAGUACAGGAGGGGCAGGCGGAAUUCCUAGUGUAGCGGUGAAAUGCGUAGAUAUUAGGAGGAACACCGGUGGCGAAGGCGGCCUGCUGGACUGUGACUGACGUUGAGGCCCGAAGGCGUGGGGAGCAAACAGGAUUAGAUACCCUAGUAU